Molecule: ribosomal RNA, 468 nt
Filed under: uncultured bacterium
Lineage: Bacteria
Description: partial 16S ribosomal RNA
Rfam family: Bacterial small subunit ribosomal RNA
Source: RNAcentral
GACGAACGCUGGCGGCGUGCUUAACACAUGCAAGUCGAACGGAAAGGCCCUGCUUUUGUGGGGUGCUCGAGUGGCGAACGGGUGAGUAACACGUGAGUAACCUGCCCUUGACUUUGGGAUAACUUCAGGAAACUGGGGCUAAUACCGGAUAGGAGCUCCUGCUGCAUGGUGGGGGUUGGAAAGUUUCGGCGGUUGGGGAUGGACUCGCGGGUUAUCAGCUUGUUGGUGGGGUAGUGGCUUACCAAGGCUUUGACGGGUAGCCGGCCUGAGAGGGUGACCGGCCACAUUGGGACUGAGAUACGGCCCAGACUCCUACGGGAGGCAGCAGUGGGGAAUAUGGCACAAUGGGCGGAAGCCUGAUGCAGCAACGCCGCGUGCGUGAUGACGGCCUUCGGGUUGUAAACCGCUUUCGCCUGUGACGAAGCGUGAGUGACGGUAAUGGGUAAAGAAGCACCGGCUAACUACGUG